CACAGCUUGGAGUUUUUGUGCUGUUUGAUCACUGUGCUUUUAACCUAUGCUGUGACGUAAAUAGCUUUAUGCAUAGUUUUAAUUCUUACUGUGACCCUAUUGUAGGUGAAUUGGCACCAUUAAAAUGCAACUUUGCCCCCCGCAAGGUGUCAUGGUCCUGGAUUAAUGAAAAUAUUUUGAAACUCAGAAGAUCCUGUGGGAAAAUGUAACGUCUUUGGAAAUCCGCUAAGCUUGAAAUUUAUAUAUGUCAGGAAAUGGGGUUGUUGGCUUUGUGCACUGUCCUGUUUGGCUCCAGUUUUGCAGAUUCUCCACCAGAGGGCUUCCUGUAGUCGGCUCCUGAGCUGGGCGUGUCACCUCCUGCUGCACCUCCAUGCAGGUGACACUAAUCAAGUGCAAUCAGCCUCAGUCCACUGGCAGCAUAAAGGAGCAGGAAGCCAGUCACUCUUCGCCUGAGUGUUAACUAUCACUGGUAUUACCCAGUUCCAGUUCCUACGUGCAAUUUCGCCUGUGAACUUACCUCAGGCAUUACAAGGACCUCCGUUGUUACCUGGAUUACAUUCCCAAGAACGGCUUCCGUUCCGCUGACCAACCUAUCCAUCUUUGACCUCAUCUUCUGCACUACUUGUUCACCCAGCACCACUGCAGUCUUCACUACCCUCUGGAUUUCAUCAACGCUGUGGAACAAACAUCCAUUCACCGCAGUCCGUGCUGUUAACAACCCCACCGACUACUCACCUUCCCCCUGGCGUUCUGGUGUUCUCCACGUCGCUGUUUCCUCCCGUACCAGACUCUGAAGAAACCUAAUCUGAUCUUAAUAGCUUUAGGCCAAUAUCUAAACUCCCCUUUCUGGCCAAAUUGUUGGAAAAGGUGGUCUCUCUGCAACUUGCAUCCUUCUAGAGUCACACAAUGUCUAUGAAAAAUUACAGUCUAGAUAUCGCAAUCUACAUUCUACAGAAACAGCAUUACUUAAAGUGUCUAGCAACAUCAUGAUGGCUGCAGACUCGAGGAGGUGUUGGUCCUGCUAGACCUGUCUUUGGCCGUUGACGCAGUUGACCACCAGAUUCUCAUAAACAGGUUGUGGAAUCUGACUGGAAUGUCUGACACAAGUGAAACAGUGGUUAGGCAAUAAUAGUCUUCAACUGAACUCAAGGAAAACUGAGACUCUUAUCAUAGCUCCAGAUAGUGCUAUCCCUUCUAUUAAACAGCACUUAGGUGAUUUGAGCCUCUCAGCAAAAAACAAACUGGGGAAUCUUGGGGUUAUCUUUGAUGAGGCAAUGUCACUGGAUCACCAUGCUAAGCAGCUGGUUAAGAACUGUUUUUUUCUUCUGUGUGUCCAGAGAUGAGCUUGAAAUGAUAACUCAAGCAUUUGUAUCCUCGCAGUUGGACUAUUGCAACAGUCUCUUUUCUUAUCUUAACAAGAAAAAGCUGGCUCAUCUGCAGUAAGUUCAAUAUUCAGCUGCAAGACUUUUGACCAGAACGAACAGGUGGAAUCACAUCACACCUGUGUUAAAAUCUCUCCAUUGGCUCCCUGUUAUGUAUUGUACUCAGUUUAAAGUUUUAGUGCUAAUGUUUUGAACCCUACAUGGACAGGCUCCUGUCUGUAUUUGUGACCUAAUUAAGUCUUACAGCUCGACUCGUAGUCUGAGGUCAAAUGGACAGAACCUGUUAAUGAUUUCACGAAACUUUUUUUAAAACAAGAUGUGACCGUUCUUUGAAAGCUACUGCUCCUCAACUCUGGAAUGAACUUUAUCUCAAGCUGCACUCUUUGAACUCAGUACAUGUGUUCAAAAAGCUCCUUAAAACCUAUUUGUUUAGACAAGCAUUCCAGUCUUAACUGACCCAAUGUUGCCACUUUUGUAUUGUUCCAUUUUAAUGUUUUAGAUUGUAUGGUUUGAUUACUGUGAAACACUUUGUGACUCUGUGUCUGUGAAAAGUGCUAUAGAAAUAAAGUUUACUUACUUACUUUUAA
Girardinichthys multiradiatus is the source of this 1969-nucleotide long non-coding RNA. RefSeq lists it as uncharacterized. The record is from RefSeq and is a predicted model, not a curated record. Lineage: Eukaryota; Metazoa; Chordata; Actinopteri; Cyprinodontiformes; Goodeidae. The transcript is spliced from 2 exons.